AGUAGAAUAGAUUGCUCAACAUUAGAGACGAUCGCUUCCCCUAGGUGAAUCGAGUUCUGACCUAGCUACGACUGGUUUUAGUCGAUUCGCGUGGACUUUAAUGCGUUUUCUUGUUUGUGUCCUCAACAAUAUAAAUUUUGAAACCUGUUUGUUUGACGAAACGAUAGGGUCCUGUAUAUUUUGGUUGAAUUUUACGUUUUAUUUUUGGCGGUGUGUAAACUUGAUUAAUAAACACUUGAUCGUUAAUGGAGAAUAUAUGCUGUUUCGUUUCCGUCGCAUUCGCUGGUGUUUUAACUUCCGUAUUAGAUGGUGUGGUUUCGUCAUUU
This 326-nucleotide long non-coding RNA is filed under the name Androctonus crassicauda. The record is from RNAcentral. Lineage: Eukaryota; Metazoa; Arthropoda; Arachnida; Scorpiones; Buthidae.